RNAcentral lists this ribosomal RNA (565 nucleotides) under Diaporthe sp. Its description in RNAcentral is "eukaryotic LSU rRNA". The stretch from base 188 to 341 matches the Rfam family "5.8S ribosomal RNA". The record is from RNAcentral. Lineage: Eukaryota; Fungi; Ascomycota; Sordariomycetes; Diaporthales; Diaporthaceae.
CUGUUGGGCAUGCCUGGACGCGCCCAGGCGCACCCAGAACCCUUUGUGAACUUAUACCUUACUGUUGCCUCGGCGCUAGCUGGUCCUUCGGGGCCCCUCACCCUCGGGUGUUGAGACAGCCCGCCGGCGGCCAACCUAACUCUUGUUUUUACACUGAAACUCUGAGCACAAAACAUAAAUGAAUCAAAACUUUCAACAACGGAUCUCUUGGUUCUGGCAUCGAUGAAGAACGCAGCGAAAUGCGAUAAGUAAUGUGAAUUGCAGAAUUCAGUGAAUCAUCGAAUCUUUGAACGCACAUUGCGCCCUCUGGUAUUCCGGAGGGCAUGCCUGUUCGAGCGUCAUUUCAACCCUCAAGCCUGGCUUGGUGAUGGGGCACUGCUUCUUACCCAAGGAGCAGGCCCUGAAAUUCAGUGGCGAGCUCGCCAGGACCCCGAGCGCAGUAGUUAAACCCUCGCUCUGGAAGGCCCUGGCGGUGCCCUGCCGUUAAACCCCCAACUUCUGAAAAUUUGACCUCGGAUCAGGUAGGAAUACCCGCUGAACUUAAGCAUAUCAAUAAGCGGAGGAA